GACGAACGCUGGCGGCGUGCCUAAUACAUGCAAGUUGAGCGCUGAAGGCUGGUCCUUGUACCAACUGGAUGAGCAGCGAACGGGUGAGUAACGCGUGGGGAAUCUGCCUUUGAGCGGGGGACAACAUUUGGAAACGAAUGCUAAUACCGCAUAACAACUUUAAACACAAGUUUUAAGUUUGAAAGAUGCAAUUGCAUCACUCAAAGAUGAUCCCGCGUUGUAUUAGCUAGUUGGUGAGGUAAAGGCUCACCAAGGCGAUGAUACAUAGCCGACCUGAGAGGGUGGUCGGCCACAUUGGGACUGAGACACGGCCCAAACUCCUACGGGAGGCAGCAGUAGGGAAUCUUCGGCAAUGGACGAAAGUAUGACCGAGCAACGCCGCGUGAGUGACGAAGGUUUUCGGAUCGUAAAACUCUGUUGGUAGAGAAGAACGGUUGUGAGAGUGGAAAGCUCAUCAAGUGACGGUAACUACACAGAAAGGGACGGCUAACUACGUG
This 497-nucleotide ribosomal RNA is filed under the name uncultured bacterium. RNAcentral's name for it is "partial 16S ribosomal RNA". It matches the Rfam family "Bacterial small subunit ribosomal RNA", at positions 28 to 507 of the family's 1533-position model. The record is from RNAcentral.